Long non-coding RNA from Mustela lutreola (European mink), 3499 nucleotides. RefSeq lists it as uncharacterized. The transcript is spliced from 3 exons. The record is from RefSeq and is a predicted model, not a curated record. NCBI's taxonomy places the organism in Eukaryota, Metazoa, Chordata, Mammalia, Carnivora, Mustelidae.
CAGUGAAGAAUGGGAAUAUACACAUCAGAGGAGCUGAAGGAGACAGAAGACUACAAAACGACAACCCAAGUCCACUAUUUCUGUGCACUUAAACUACAAACUAAAAGACCUCUUCAGCUUCUUUUACUCUGGAUGGAGAGAAGACACACGUGUUUCAACAAAGACCCACACAGACCACUGCAAUCCACCUUACGGCAGGACCACAGAAGACAAAUCUAAUACAAACGCGAAGCCGGCGGUUCCUUGCAGCACAGAGGAUGCAAACUGAAGCGCCUGCGCGUCGAGGACCCUCCCCAGCUCUCGCUCCCUCCUUCCUUGGACAAGCGUGAUCCCAGCAACCGCCGGCCAGGCACUGGGCUUGGCUCGGCUUCAUAAGGACCAUGAAGCUCAGCGUCCACCAGGAGAGCCACACACGCAAGCAAGUCCGUUGCAAACACCCCCUGGGUUUCGGAGGCCCAGCCAGGACCCAGGAGGACAGGGUCGUGGACGUCUUUCCGGAGCAGGUGCACACCGAGCCUGGCAUCCAACAGAAAGCUUCGCUGCUCGCACUUUCCUCGGAAGGGACAAUGGGACGGCGGAGCGGGGGGGGGGGGGGGGGGGCACCGGGCGCGCGUGCGCGGGCCGGGGGAGCCGCGGUGGGGCUGGGGCGGGGGAGGACACGCACGCUGCAGCCCGGCCCCGGCCUCCACAGCCCCAGAGGCGCUGAGCCCCCGGCCCCCAGCACCCCCCUCGCCUCACCGCCCCCCCGCCCCCGGCCCGCGCACCCCGAGAACUGGCGCGCUUCCGCGCCCUGCGAGCAGGGGCACCCCCGAAGCUUCCCAGCAAAUGGGGCAUCUUCCAGAUGACAAUUUUAUUUCAAGAAAACGCAGACAAGACAUUUUUUCCACACUUGAGGCAGGAGAAAAUGUGUCCCUGGAGGUGCGACGCGGGGCCAGAGCUGGCAGGAGGAGAGGCGGGGAAGGAGGGGCUGCGGCGCCCGGGCGAGCUGGGGGCUCCGCUGGGUAACCCCCGUGCACGGUCCCUCCCGCUUCGCUCCUGCCGGAGCCCCUUCACUCGCACGCGGCCUAAGUAGGAAAAAGGUGGCUCGACGGGCUUGCAGUGACAAAGCAGGGGGGGUUGAGGGGCGGUGGGUCCUGCGGAGGGCGCGGACUGCAGGGAGCGCUGGGUGCGGCGCGGGAGCCAUGCAUUCUGCUCUGCUGCAAAGAAAUAAAAAAGGAAAAGCCUGGUGCCGCUGACACUUCAGCCGUGAGGAAGAAUGAGCAGGACGGCCUGUUGGGAAAGGCGGCGGGAGGAGACCAGGCGACGUGGGAGAGGACAGCCCUGGGCUUCCCAGGCUGCUGGCGCGCGGGUUUCACCUCCCGUUGGGGUGCGGGUGGUGAGCGGACACCGCUCCGAGGCUGGACUCCGGGAGACCCGUGUCGAGUCCGGCUGCCCCCACGCAAAGGGGACUGCCCGGGCCUCGGUCAAUCAAGACUUCACUCUACCGGAGAACUAGACAGGGGAGCAAAAGACUUCAGACGACACCUGUGACAGGCUCACUCGCUGCUGCGACUUCGGUCAGCCGUCUAGAUCACAGAAAGAGAACAGGAGCAGAAACAAAUCAUUUCACAAUGAAAACUCAUCACCUUUCGUGAUCUUGGAAAAACAGCAACACAGCAAAGCAGAGACUGGAAAACAGGAAAUAGAGCAUUACCUUUUAGGCAGACUAGAAGGGCACUGAGUGGUAUAUAGUGGCCAUAAAACUUGAUGUUUAUGUGAAUAUGUUGCUGUGAUAGCUUUUAUUGCCUAUAGAAGUUCAGAAACAAACCUCUGCUGAAAAAGCAUCAAAAAUAUGUACUUCUCCCUUAAAUGGAGGACCAAAAGUAAUCAGAAUAUGAGCCAUUCUGUAUUCUUUCACGGAGAAUCUAACUAGAGGAAAUAACCAGAAGACAUGUAUGGAAUGAGGUUUGGCAAACAGAGCAUGCCUGCCUUGAGUUACAGACUCGACCUUCUUCUAGUAAUUUCUACCUUCUCUAGAAGGGAAAACCACAUAAACAAGCUAAUUUAAAUAGGCUUCAAACGAGCACAGAAAGACCGAGUUCAAUUCUGGAUCAACGAAUAGAGUUCUAUGACCUGGAGGCCGCUGCCACAGGCCUUUCCGACACGGCCCACACCUCCCAUACUUCAGGCUUCCCAGCUGUGUCCGGAAGGCGAGAGGGGCCGGAGUCUUCCUUACAGACGGCCAGGGCUUUCCCGCUCUCCGUGGCUAAGAGUCUAAGAUUCUACGACACUGUACACAACGUUCCAUGGCACCCCAACCUGCUUACGCGGCGGCUUGUCCGCAAAGAUGGACAGUGAUGCUGGAAAGAGCAUGAAACCUGGAAUUCUAGCUUAUCAAGGUAAAGAAGUGUGACAAGCAUUAAUUGGUAAAGACAGAUUUUGGGAUGCUUCAGAGAACCGUGCACAGGAUAGGAAGGGAAGGUUUUUGUGAGGGACACCAAUCUGAGAGUCUCUCUCAGUUGGAACUGUUUUCUCGGUCCAGGGCAAAGUGACCAGAGAAAAACAAAACAUCUUUAAGCAUUAAAGCUUAUAUUUAAAUUUACUUAAAAACUUUUAUAUUAAGUUUUCUAAAAAUAAAGUCGUAAAUGUAACCUAAAAAAAAAUAGAUCUUAAUACAUCUAUAAGAUUUUUAAUUCCUUAUAUGCAAAUAUCCCAAGUUGUAACCAAUUCCUUUGGUUUUAAGGAGUUAUGAAUUUAGAAGUUAUGGAGCAUAGAAAAUUUGAGCCCAGGAGAAUGAAAACAUUUCUAAGGUCUCUGUCAGAAACAAGACAGAGGUAGGUGGGAGAAUGAAAAAAUACUUUUUAUCAAAAAAUUUGCUAAAACUACUUUGCAUUCCAAUAUUACUUUUAUUUUGGUAUUAAAAAAAGGAAAACUUUCUCAAAUUUUGUCCUUAAUAUAACUGGGCGCAUUUAACCCACAGGCUAUUCUAAACAAAGAGAGUAGUUUCUUAUUUCUCUCCUAAUAAAGAUGUAUUUUUCUCUGCACUUUCCCCCUCAUCCCCAGACCCAUUUAUUGUCAGGCAAACAUAUACAAAAAGUUCAGUGUGAUUAAGUUUAAAGACAGUGUGUGAGAUGAAUAAGGGAGAUACACUUUGGCACAGAAACAGAGAAAAGAAACCAGACAUCCCUGAGGCCUGCAGGCAGAAUAAUUUUUAUCUACCUUCUAGAGCCAAAGCCAGGCUGGCCACAGUCUUAUCAAGAAAACAGAUACGCUCUCAUCAUUCAAUGGAAGGAGCAAGGGAGUCACUUUUCUGCCACUAAACAUUAAUAAUUUGGUCUAAAUAAGAAUCUGUGGCCGACGCAUGCAUUUCCUGCUGGCUCCAGCGAGGCUUGCUGGGAGCGGCCGGAUUCCUCACUGGAGUCCACGGCCUGUGAGAGAUGUACGUGCAGCCUGGGGUUGGCAUGUCAGUGCUGGAGGUCUUGAUGCCCAGAGUAAUAAGCUAAGAGUAGACAUAAUUAUU